RNAcentral lists this ribosomal RNA (450 nucleotides) under uncultured bacterium. Its description in RNAcentral is "bacterial SSU rRNA". It matches the Rfam family "Bacterial small subunit ribosomal RNA", at positions 354 to 796 of the family's 1533-position model. The record is from RNAcentral.
GUGGGGAAUAUUGGACAAUGGGCGAAAGCCUGAUCCAGCCAUGCCGCGUGUGUGAAGAAGGUCUUCGGAUUGUAAAGCACUUUAAGUUGGGAGGAAGGGCAGUAAGUUAAUACCUUGCUGUUUUGACGUUACCGACAGAAUAAGCACCGGCUAACUUCGUGCCAGCAGCCGCGGUAAUACGAAGGGUGCAAGCGUUAAUCGGAAUUACUGGGCGUAAAGCGCGCGUAGGUGGUUUUGUAAGUUGGAGGUGAAAUCCCCGGGCUCAACCUGGGAACUGACUCCAAAACUGCAUGACUAGAGUACGGUAGAGGGUAGUGGAAUUUCCUGUGUAGCGGUGAAAUGCGUAGAUAUAGGAAGGAACACCAGUGGCGAAGGCGACUACCUGGACUGAUACUGACACUGAGGUGCGAAAGCGUGGGGAGCAAACAGGAUUAGAAACCCGGGUAGUCC